This 21-nucleotide transfer RNA is filed under the name Sebastes emphaeus (Puget Sound rockfish). RNAcentral describes it as "partial tRNA-Thr". Lineage: Eukaryota; Metazoa; Chordata; Actinopteri; Perciformes; Sebastidae. The record is from RNAcentral.
GGAGGUUAAAGUCCUCCCUAC